CCCGGGAUGCGGCACCGCGUCCUGCGGGGUUCCCUCCGCACCACCGGCCCUCUCCACUGACCGCCGUCCCGGCCGGGGGCGACUGAACUGCUCCGGGCGAGGUUCAGGUGGCACAUCGGGAGGAAUUCCUUCGGAAAUGCUAUUCAUCAGUGCCAAGGAAAGGAAAAUGUUGUCUGUCAAGUUAUUGUGGUAUCAAAAGUGUCCUUUGGUAAAAAUUGCUUCACCUGUUAAUUGCCUGCAGCACUGAGGAUUUAAUGGUGGCACCAUGGAUCUCCUCUGCCCAGAAGAGAGCCUGGGAGAGAUGGAUAAUAUUUUAUUUCAAUACAACACAAUGAUCUGUGUUGGGAGCAUUUUUGUUCUCUGCAGCAGGUAGCAAAACCAUGCAGCAUGCGAGCUGAGAGAGCUUUCAUCAGCUCCUGCUUUCCACUGUUCCUGCUGUAAUGGAAACAUUUCUUCUGCUCCUUACAGCAGCAAAAUAAUAGUAAAGAAAAUUACUCCAGUCAACUGAGAUGAGGUUUCCAUGUCAUCCUUCCGAGUAAAAUAUUUAUUAGCUGUUAAAGUGAUUGAAGGUCACUCAUUCACUUUCUUUCAGAAACUAGCAUAUAGAGGGAAUGAAGAGAAAAUAAGUUUUUAAAAUUUUGAAGGCAGAGAACUGUAAAUAGGAGGUAAAAGACGGGAAAAAUCAGGAGAAAAUGUUCAUGUUGGUGCCUUACUCCACUGUAAAAGCAAGAUAAGGGAAUAAAUAAAUGAUAGCAAAGGAAAAUUAAAUGGGCCUUGGUAGGAUGAGGUAAGGUCUGCCCUAGCAGUAGUAAAAUAAUCCUUUUCCCUUGCCAAGUGUCCCUGUCAGACAGAGCAGGAGAGAUUUCCAGCCCUGGUGCCUAGCAGGGGCAGUUUGAACUGAAAUAGGGACAUGAUUAAAUUUUUACAACUUUUUAAACUGUCAUUCAGCAAACAAGGUCCUGCUCUCUGCAGUAAGGAAACAAGGGUGAUUAAAGCCUGCCAAAUGAAGGGAAGCUCUGUAUACAAUGUUUAAAAAUAGUUUUUAAAGAAAUAACUACAUAGAAAGUGUGGCAAAGAUAAAGUCAAAGAUUUAUGAGGCGUAUAAGGUGUUUGUAAGAUUAACUACAGGCUGAGACUAACCCUAUCUCUUGCACUGAUGAACUUUUCAUUUGUGGUGAGAAAAAGGCACUGUGCCCUGGAAAACAAAUUCAGCACUGGCUGUUCUCAUCCUAGGGCUGUGAGCAAUAUUUUAAAUAUGUGCAAUAUUUUAGAUGUGUGACAUAAGACAGCACAGCAGCAAGGUUAGAAGUGGGAGAAUACUGGGAGGGAGAAGCAAUACCUGCACACAACUUCUUGGGAUCCAGAUGGGAGCUGGAGGCUGAUUGUAGAUGGAAAUAGUGCCACUGAGUGUUCCUGUACCGAGGCCUGACUUGUAGCUGAUUAAUAUAUCUACUGAUCUCUAAUUAAAUGCAAUUAACAGCCUGUACACAACGGUUGCCUGGGUGAUAUUUAAGCUCAUUAUCUGGUGCCCUCUAGUGGAACAUGAGACAGAUACAAUCAGACCUUUUUUUUUCUGCAAAACCAGAUUUAUUUUUCUUCCAGUGCAUGGCCCAACCAAGAACCUUUGAUGAAAUCAUUGAAAGCUUAUGGGUGCACUGAAAAUCAUGCAAAAGGUAAAUAAGUAGGAGGAUGACUUGGUCUGUUGUGUUGAUCUUUACAAGUAAUGACUAAAAUUUAUAAAGUAGUGACCAAAAGCGUAUUUUGAAAGAAACAAGGAGAAGGAGAAGGCAAAAAGAGAAGAGGGCAGAAGGAGAAAAAAAAAAAAAGGGAAAGAAAAGCCAAAAAAACCCCCAGGAUACAUUUUAAUGAUUCUUGACUUAAGCAUCAGUUACAGGUAAUGAAAGAUUAUUGCUUCCCUAUUUGAUAUCUUAUUUUAGAAGAUUUCCUGUAGCACAGACUUACCUUGUUUUGUAGUUGGUCAGAGCCUGUGAUCCUCAGCCUGACUGUUUCACUGAGUGGAGAAGCUCAGUGGAUGAUUGUGCCACACUGUCCUGGUUUGGGGCAAAUUUGGGAGGAAACUUUCAAAGGGGUCCCUCUAGAAAGCAGAUUCCACCUCCCCCUACUGGUUUGUGAAAAGAUUUCCUUGGAGAAAAGUGAAAAAACCCUGUUUAUUUAACCAGCAAAGUGUUUACAAGCAUAAAAAAUGAAUAAUAUUAAAUAAUGGAACCUCUCAUCAUUCUGAAGAGAUGGCAAAUUCAGGAAGUCCCUCUCAUGGGGUGUAGCUUGGCUUGCUCAGUCUCUUAUCAGUCCCUCCUGCACUGGAAUGCAGCGUCCCAGUCCAGGUGAGCCAAAGGUGUGAGCUCCCUGUGUUUUCUGCGUUUUCAGUCCACAGCAGAGCUGAACAGUUCCAAGAAAAAGAAAAGCCACAUCCGGGGAACUUGUCUGCCUCAGCUAGCUAAAAACUACCUAAAAGCAAAGGAGAGCUCUCCCCCUGUCUGUGCUGCAGACAGCACAGUCCAGGAGCAGGAAUGCAGGGGAGCAAGGGCAGUUUCAAACUGCACACUUCUCCUCGCCCCUUUGCUCUCAGAACCAGUCUUAAAAGUGCAGAACUUAAUAUCCAGCAUAAACAGAAGAGACAACUGGGGAUACAAGCACUGUAAAGUCACCCCAGGACACACUUUCCAGAGGCUGCUUAAAUUGUGCAAGACUAUCCCCGAGCUAUGUGUUUCAAACAUAAUUUAGGGAGGUUUGCUUUUGACUCGUCUGUUUUUUCCAUUACUUGAACUUCAGCAGUGACCUCAAGAAAUGAUGGAAAAUAGGUAUUUGCCUUGGUUCCAAAUCCACAUGUGACUACCAAAGCAGCUGUGCCCAUUUCUUCAUGUGCCCAUAACACAGCUCUGCUCUCUAAAUGGUGGGAGUUCCCUGACUUUGCUGCUCUAGCCUGGACAGCCCUUGGGCUUGGGUUCUAUAGAUGUGAGCUCUGAUUUAUUUGGGAGUGCUGAAGCAUAUUAAACACACAUUGCAGCUCAGCAUAUUAAGUAGGACUUUGCAGUAGGAGUUUCGUUCCAAG
This is a long non-coding RNA of Prinia subflava (tawny-flanked prinia), 3070 nucleotides long. RefSeq lists it as uncharacterized. The record is from RefSeq and is a predicted model, not a curated record. Lineage: Eukaryota; Metazoa; Chordata; Aves; Passeriformes; Cisticolidae. The transcript is spliced from 3 exons.